CUCCAGUUGGAUGCAUGUCCUUCUGGGAAAGAUUCAUCGGUAUGGGAUGGGGUCGCGUCCUAUCAGCUUGAUGGCGGGGUAACGGCCCACCAUGGCUUCGACGGGUAGCCGGCCUGAGAGGGCGACCGGCCACAUUGGGACUGAGAUACGGCCCAGACUCCUACGGGAGGCAGCAGUGGGGAAUAUUGCACAAUGGGCGCAAGCCUGAUGCAGCGACGCCGCGUGCGGGAUGACGGCCUUCGGGUUGUAAACCGCUUUUGACUGGGAGCAAGCCCUUCGGGGUGAGUGUACCUUUCGAAUAAGCACCGGCUAACUACGUGCCAGCAGCCGCGGUAAUACGUAGGGUGCAAGCGUUAUCCGGAAUUAUUGGGCGUAAAGGGCUCGUAGGCGGUUCGUCGCGUCCGGUGUGAAAGUCCAUCGCUUAACGGUGGAUCCGCGCCGGGUACGGGCGGGCUUGAGUGCGGUAGGGGAGACUGGAA
RNAcentral lists this ribosomal RNA (479 nucleotides) under uncultured Bifidobacterium sp. Its description in RNAcentral is "bacterial SSU rRNA". It matches the Rfam family "Bacterial small subunit ribosomal RNA", at positions 173 to 666 of the family's 1533-position model. The record is from RNAcentral. Lineage: Bacteria; Bacillati; Actinomycetota; Actinomycetes; Bifidobacteriales; Bifidobacteriaceae.